Sapajus apella (tufted capuchin) is the source of this 2063-nucleotide long non-coding RNA. RefSeq lists it as uncharacterized. The record is from RefSeq and is a predicted model, not a curated record. NCBI's taxonomy places the organism in Eukaryota, Metazoa, Chordata, Mammalia, Primates, Cebidae. The transcript is spliced from 3 exons.
CAAAACGUACGCCCAACAGGAAGCUGCCUGCAAUUUCAGGUAGCUUUUCUGACUCUUGAAAAGAUCUUGAGUAUACUUUCAGAGAAAUGCCAGCAAAAACUGUAGUCAUUUGGGAAGGAACAAUUCUGGAAGGAAGAGAUACAGCGAACUAGCACAAAGAGGUUUGAAAGGUUCGUGACAGCUCACAGCUCAUGAUGGUGCCAAUCUUGAGGAUAGAGAAAACUCAUUCCUCAUGCAGGGAAGAAGAAAAUAUUCUAAAAAAGUGAUAAGCAUAUUCCAUGAAAUCAAGAAAGGCUAGAAACCCACCAACUGCUAACAACCAGUUGGAGGGUAAGUCAAAAGCUAUGAGAGCCUAGAAGGAGAACAAUUAUUUAGAGUAGCUGGGAAAGUCUUUGAAGGGUCUUCAGAAAAUGGUCCAAAAGGAAAGAGGAAAAGUCAUUCUACUGAGAGGAGUUUGUGUAAUCAAAGCAACCGAGCCUUAAGAACUCACACAAGAUUAGAAAAGGGUGAAGGAUGCUUGGAAAGCUGGACUAGGAAAAGGCUGUGAAGGGCCCUGAAUGUCACAUGUCACAUGUUGCCUACAGCAUGCAGAAUCAAAACAUGAUGAAUCAUGUCUUGAAUCAUGACAUGAAUCAUGACACACGAAUCAUAACAUGUGACAUGUUGAAUGUCACAUGUCACAUGCGAUAGGCAGCCAUCAAGAGUAUUUGAAAGGAAAGUAUAUAAUCGGGCCUGUGCUUUAAUAAGAUAAUUUAUAUAGUAUUCAGUGUGGAUUCAAAUGGAGAAUAUAGGUACUAGUUUUGACAUCGACAGUAUAGGAAACCAUUUAGGUUUCUCGUACACCAAAAUAUUAAAACAUACACCCAAACACAACAAUACAUUAAAAUUUUGAGAGAGAAGAGCCAAAAGUUAUUUGUCACUGGACUAAAAGUGGAAAUAAAUGUUUACAACCUCUAAGGUAGACUAGAGGAGUUGUUAGCAAAACUGCCACAUAAAAUUUCAGAUAUGCAAAGAAAUGCAAUUGUAGACUUAUGCACAUAUUUCCACAAGAGAAUAGAGUCUGGGCAGAAUGGGAGAAGUAAAAAACGUGUUCAAAGCUUAGGAAGUGCCUUGCUCUUCACCAAGAGGAGCCAACAGCAUUUUCUUUGAAUCAACUCUCAUAUUCCCUUACAGAGAAGUUGAUAGUGUUGUAGAAAACUCACCUAUUGAAGUGACAACAAAAACAGCAACCCAAUAUGAGUAAACUGGUAUUAUGAUUAAAGGGACAAGUAACUGCACUUUUGACACAUACCCUCUAAAAGGUUGGUUAGGAGUGUUUCAAAGAAUCAAGUCUGAGUAAUAGAAAAGAGUAUACCACUUCCCCUUCAUACACUUUUGAGCAUGGGGGAACUGGGGGCUGGGUAAUUGACAAUUGACUGGGUAAUUGUCACACGGGACAUUCUCCCACUAUACACCAUUUCUUUGGGAUCUCUCCCAAAAUUCUUCUUCUAAGUGACACAUCCCUGUAUUGAUCAUCUUUCCCCAUACUGAUCUUCCUCAGCAAUCAUGUGAGUUAUUAGUCUUACUAUUUGUUUUUCUUAAAUAUGGUCUUUUAACCACUCAAAUAUUUUGUAUAAACAUAGUUUGUUUUCCCAAUUUAACUGGAAGCAUUUUUCAAAAUGGGAAUCUGUGUGUAUAUUUCUGUAAUUUUUUUGUCAUGCCUUAUGUGGUAUAUAAAAAUCAACAGCAAUAAAACAACAACAGUAAUAAUACCUAAGACUUUUUGAAUGCUAACCAUAUAUUCAGCAUUAUUUCAAUUCCUUUACAUGUACCAACUGAUUUAAUUAUUACGAUAACUGCAUGAAGUGGAUAUAGUGUUGUCAUCAGUUUACACUUGAGGAAACUGAGUUAUGGGGAGGUUAAUUAUCUUUGCCAUAGUCACAGAGUCAUUAAGUGUAUGAUCUGAGACAGUCUGACACCUGAGCUAUGCUUCACUGUACCUGUUAAGAUAUUCUUUUUCUUGAAUUCAAAUUCUAAAAGAAAAACGGAGUUGAUAUUUAUAAAUUCAAUGCUAUCCCCAUCAA